UGCCGGUGGGACCGGUUACGCCGGGGCCCGUAACUCCCUCCGUGCUGCUCUUAACCGAGUGGUUCGGUGGGCCGGCACGUUUACUUUGAACAAAUUUGAGUGCUCAAAGCAGGCCUUAUGUUGACUGAAAACUGUGUGCAUGGAAUAAUGGAAUAGGACCUUGGUUCUAUUUUGUUGGCUUUUCUGAACUCGAGGUAAUGAUUAAUAGGGACAGACGGGGGCAUUCGUAUUACGACGUUAGAGGUGAAAUUCUUGGAUCGUCGUAAGACGAACCGAUGCGAAAGCGUUUGCCCAAGAAUGUUUUCGCUAAUCAAGAACGAAAGUUAGAGGUUCGAAGGCGAUCAGAUACCCGCCCCUAGUUCUAACCAUAAACGAUGCCAGCCAGCGAUGCGCCGAAGUUCUUCCGAUGACUCGGCGCGCAGCUUCCGGGAAACCAAAGCUUUUGGGUUCCGGGGGAAGUAUGGUUGCAAAGCUGAAACUUAAAGGAAUUGACGGAAGGGCACCACCAGGAGUGGAGCCUGCGGCUUAAUUUGACUCAACACGGGA
RNAcentral lists this ribosomal RNA (546 nucleotides) under Oligoneuriidae environmental sample. Its description in RNAcentral is "SSU rRNA". It matches the Rfam family "Eukaryotic small subunit ribosomal RNA", at positions 672 to 1210 of the family's 1831-position model. The record is from RNAcentral. Lineage: Eukaryota; Metazoa; Arthropoda; Insecta; Ephemeroptera; Oligoneuriidae.